This 1441-nucleotide ribosomal RNA is filed under the name uncultured organism. Its description in RNAcentral is "16S ribosomal RNA". It matches the Rfam family "Bacterial small subunit ribosomal RNA". The record is from RNAcentral.
GAUGAACGCUAGCUACAGGCUUAACACAUGCAAGUCGAGGGGCAGCAUGGUCUUAGCUUGCUAAGGCCGAUGGCGACCGGCGCACGGGUGAGUAACACGUAUCCAACCUGCCGUCUACUCUUGGACAGCCUUCUGAAAGGAAGAUUAAUACAAGAUGGCAUCAUGAGUCCGCAUGUUCACAUGAUUAAAGGUAUUCCGGUAGACGAUGGGGAUGCGUUCCAUUAGAUAGUAGGCGGGGUAACGGCCCACCUAGUCUUCGAUGGAUAGGGGUUCUGAGAGGAAGGUCCCCCACAUUGGAACUGAGACACGGUCCAAACUCCUACGGGAGGCAGCAGUGAGGAAUAUUGGUCAAUGGGCGAGAGCCUGAACCAGCCAAGUAGCGUGAAGGAUGACUGCCCUAUGGGUUGUAAACUUCUUUUAUAAAGGAAUAAAGUCGGGUAUGGAUACCCGUUUGCAUGUACUUUAUGAAUAAGGAUCGGCUAACUCCGUGCCAGCAGCCGCGGUAAUACGGAGGAUCCGAGCGUUAUCCGGAUUUAUUGGGUUUAAAGGGAGCGUAGAUGGAUGUUUAAGUCAGUUGUGAAAGUUUGCGGCUCAACCGUAAAAUUGCAGUUGAUACUGGAUAUCUUGAGUGCAGUUGAGGCAGGCGGAAUUCGUGGUGUAGCGGUGAAAUGCUUAGAUAUCACGAAGAACUCCGAUUGCGAAGGCAGCCUGCUAAGCUGCAACUGACAUUGAGGCUCGAAAGUGUGGGUAUCAAACAGGAUUAGAUACCCUGGUAGUCCACACGGUAAACGAUGAAUACUCGCUGUUUGCGAUAUACUGCAAGCGGCCAAGCGAAAGCGUUAAGUAUUCCACCUGGGGAGUACGCCGGCAACGGUGAAACUCAAAGGAAUUGACGGGGGCCCGCACAAGCGGAGGAACAUGUGGUUUAAUUCGAUGAUACGCGAGGAACCUUACCCGGGCUUAAAUUGCAGAUGAAUUACGGUGAAAGCCGUAAGCCGCAAGGCAUCUGUGAAGGUGCUGCAUGGUUGUCGUCAGCUCGUGCCGUGAGGUGUCGGCUUAAGUGCCAUAACGAGCGCAACCCUUGUUGUCAGUUACUAACAGGUUCCGCUGAGGACUCUGACAAGACUGCCAUCGUAAGAUGUGAGGAAGGUGGGGAUGACGUCAAAUCAGCACGGCCCUUACGUCCGGGGCUACACACGUGUUACAAUGGGGGGUACAGAGGGCCGCUACCACGCGAGUGGAUGCCAAUCCCCAAAACCUCUCUCAGUUCGGACUGGAGUCUGCAACCCGACUCCACGAAGCUGGAUUCGCUAGUAAUCGCGCAUCAGCCACGGCGCGGUGAAUACGUUCCCGGGCCUUGUACACACCGCCCGUCAAGCCAUGGGAGCCGGGGGUACCUGAAGUGCGUAACCGCGAGGAGCGCCCUAGGGUAAAACUGGUG